RNAcentral lists this long non-coding RNA (248 nucleotides) under Gallus gallus (chicken). Lineage: Eukaryota; Metazoa; Chordata; Aves; Galliformes; Phasianidae. The record is from RNAcentral.
GGUGGUAGUGCAAAUCUCCUCCAUUCAUCAGGUCCAGAAUGAAACAGAGUUUGUCGGGGGUGUGGAAGGCAUAGGUCAUACACACUAUGAAAGGGCAGUCUCCCGUACUGACAAGAGACAGCAUAAUUCUUUCAUUUAAGGCUAAUGUUUCUCCUUGCUUCAUCUUGAUUCUCUUCUUAUCUAAACAUUUCAUUGCAUACAUUUUUCCAGUGUCUGCUUUUCUGCACCCGUACACUUCACCAAAUCCC